AAAACUUUGCCGGAGGUCCUAAAGCUAAUAAGCAGUUCAGCUGGGAUGUAACCAAAUCACAGCCUCCUCUCAGAAUGCCUCACGCCCCUCCCAGGAUGCCUCACGCCCCUCCCAGGGUGCCUCAUGCCCCUCCCAGGAUGCCUCACGCCCCUCCCAGGAUGCCUCACGCCCCUCCCAUGGCGCCUCACGUUCUUCUCAGGACGCUUCACUUUCUGCUUCUCUCUCCACCUGGUCAGAAGGGUAGUGUGUGUCAGAGUGUGAACCUGUGUGCUGGGCUCCUAAACUCCUGAUAGGCCUUGAGAGACAGAUGAAGUGAUUCACUCUCUAAUAAUCUUUCCCAGCUAUAGGGUGCAGCAGAACCUGGAGAGGUUUCUGAAACCUCAGAUUUGGUUCAUGGGUGGCAGACAGAGCUGAGAUGGAGGUUGAAGUUUUACCUUGAAGCGCGGGAUCUUUUCUCAGGGUGCUCUUUGGUUUUCCCCCUCGGGCCUGCUCAGAAUCCUGGCUGUGGAAAAUGUGAACUUCCUGGGGAUGGAAGACACACAGUCUCCUUCUUCCCGUUCUCUGUAAGGGUGCGUAUGGAAUGUGGAGUGCGGCAGGUGGAUCUGGGAGUUAGUGGUGGAGUGGGAAAGCAGGAGCUAGUGCUUUUCCUGCUGACAGGCUUGGGAUUCGGGGCCUGGGAGCAGGAUUUGGGGGGAGAAGAGCAGCAUUAGUGGCAGGUGCUAUAUGCUGGCAACAACUGUCCCGUGAACUUGGACUUGGUGUUGGGGUAACAAUUUUGAGGCAAAAGCCCACCCCCAAAGGCUCCUGGUAGCCUUAUUCCUUCCAGGCCACCCAUAGGCACUGAAUUGCUGACAGGUUUCUGGCUCUAUCAGGGCUACUGGCCACAGACUCGGGAGGCCUGGGAUGCAGUCCCACUGGACCCACGCCCUGAAGCUUUGCUGGGAAUUUGCCAUAUCCAGUCCAAGGACUUUGCAGGAAACACAGGUGAGGGGCACUGCAGGGUGCCUCCCCCAAGAAGCACACUGCUGGUUGGGGAUGGAAGACCAACAUAUUCUCAAACACACAUGUAGAUACAUCCCAUAUAUAACACAUUCACAAUAUCCACAUAAUCCACGCACACCCACACACGUACUGAACACAGGCACACUUACAUCUAGGUACCUCACACGUACUCACUCAUCCGUGUCUAUAUAUAUGUACACACAUAAAUGUGCACAUGUACAAACACACAGUCACACACAUUCAUACACACAUGCUUGGAGACAAAUAUGCAUAGCAGAUACUCACAUGUGUGUGCAGUGUCCCCUGGCCAGCCCUGCAGGAAUGAGGACUGGCCCUCUGCCAUGACAGAGCGGAAAUGCAGAGCUCUGAGAGUAGAAGCUGUGAAUGGAGAGCACCCUAGUUCUUAAGGAGUCAAGGCUCAGGAAUACGGGAGAAGAAGGAGCAGGUGGUUCUUGGAGCACAGGUGCAGUAGUUGAGGCGGGGGGGGGGGUAGCAUGACCAAGGCACCCUCAAACAGGCUCCACCCCAUUGUCCACACCCCCAUUGUCCCACGGGAUGAACUCUUUGCCCCUUCUGCCCCUUAGCCUUUUCCUCCUGACUCAUUGGAAGAAAGAGAACAGAUUACCUACAAAAGGAAACCCCGAUCAGAUUGGCACCAGACUUCUCCCUGGCAACAAGGCCCAUUCUUCAUCCCCUGAAACAACCAGUGACCCUCUGCAACGCUGUUCCUCUGCCCAAGAGAAAAGGCACCUUUGGGACAUUGCUUUUGGAACCAUGCAGUGAGGGAGCCAGACAGCCACACGGAGAGGUCACGCAUAGGUGACCUGACCAACGGUUCCAGCAGAGGUCCCAGCUGUAAGCUGCCACCCACCACCAGACAGCUUCUCAAACUACACCCUGGUCACCUCAGUCUUCCUUCUGUGCUCAAAGACUGCAAGCUCAUCCCCACUCUGAGCCUUGGCAUUUCAAUCCUCUCCUCUGGAAAUGGCUUCAAAGAACACCCUACCUAAGGUGCACAUUGGCCAUGGAACCACAGAAGGUGCCUCAGCCUCCCAGAGAGAGCCACAUUCAUUGGGUUCAAGGUCAGCGUCACAUUUUCUGUGUACUUUUUUUCUUGGCUAUGACUGUUUCGUAUUUGGAAGUAAGGGUUUUCAAUCCCCACACUUCCCUGUAUUCCAAAGAAAGAUGACACCAGCAAUGCAGAUUUGGAGACUAUAUACCUACAGUCCUCUCUCCCUUUAGCUCUGCUUCCCUCUCCUCUCUUUCUCCCCCUCUCCCACUUUCCCUCUCUCCUCCACCCACCCACACACACAUGAUUGUUCCAUAUAGGGAUGAUAUAGGGAUGAAAAUUGCACUGCUGAGAGCUAACACUCUCUUUCCAGCUCAACUAAUAUGGAAUAGAUAAAUCAGGAGAAAGGAAAGUAGGGAGAAGUUGGGGGCCCACCAUUUUCUCCCAGUCUCCCUUUUCAAGACUUGUUACUUGGUUUGAAGCAAACCCCAGAUGACCCUCUCAGCCUACAGUCAUGCAUAGGACAGGUGCCUUCUCCAGCCCUGUGUCCAUCUUGGUACUCCUGGCUACCAGGUUCUUUGUGCCCACGCUUCAUCUAUACAGUCAAGGGUGGGUGGAGCGAUGACUUGGCCUGAGCCGAUGAGAGAAUCAUAUUCUCUGCAUCUCACUGAUUGGUUCAGAGAUGGAGAUUUGACCAAGUCCUAGCCAAUGAGCUUCAAGGAAAGAUUUGUAAUUCUGAGUGAGUAAAGCCCCAGCAAGAAAGGG
Molecule: long non-coding RNA, 2776 nt
Organism: Acinonyx jubatus (cheetah)
Lineage: Eukaryota; Metazoa; Chordata; Mammalia; Carnivora; Felidae
Exons: 4
Source: RefSeq, a predicted model, not a curated record